UUAUUAAUAGUCUAAAGUUUUAAGAUAUUUCAUUGUUAAUGAAAUGAUAAUUUAAAUUAAUUUUAAUAAG
This 70-nucleotide transfer RNA is filed under the name Echinoderes svetlanae. Its description in RNAcentral is "tRNA-Asn". The record is from RNAcentral. Lineage: Eukaryota; Metazoa; Kinorhyncha; Cyclorhagida; Echinoderidae.